RNAcentral lists this ribosomal RNA (408 nucleotides) under uncultured Glomeromycotina. RNAcentral describes it as "SSU rRNA". It matches the Rfam family "Eukaryotic small subunit ribosomal RNA", at positions 827 to 1228 of the family's 1831-position model. The record is from RNAcentral. Lineage: Eukaryota; Fungi; Glomeromycota.
CGUUCGAUCCUAUUUUGUUGGUUUCUAGGAUUGACGUAAUGAUUAAUAGGGAUAGUUAGGGGCAUUAGUAUUCAAUUGUCAGAGGUGAAAUUCUUGGAUUUAUUGAAGACUAACUACUGUGAAAGCAUUUGCCAAGGAUGUUUUCAUUAAUCAAGAACGAAAGUUAGGGGAUCGAAGACGAUCAGAUACCGUUGUAGUCUUAACCAUAAACUAUGCCGACUAGGGAUCGGAUGAUGUUGAUUUUUUAAUGACUCAUUCGACGCCUUACGGGAAACCAAAGUGUUUGGGUUCCGGGGGGAGUAUGGUCGCAAGGCUGAAACUUAAAGGAAUUGACGGAAGGGCACCACCACCAGGGGUAGAGCCUGCAGCUUAAUUUGACUCAACACGGGAAAACUCACCAGGUCCAGA